RNAcentral lists this ribosomal RNA (460 nucleotides) under uncultured bacterium. Its description in RNAcentral is "partial 16S ribosomal RNA". It matches the Rfam family "Bacterial small subunit ribosomal RNA", at positions 338 to 795 of the family's 1533-position model. The record is from RNAcentral.
CCUACGGGAGGCAGCAGUGAGGAAUAUUGGUCAAUGGACGGAAGCCUGAACCAGCCAAGCCGCGUGCAGGAUGAAGGCCCUACGGGUUGUAAACUGCUUUUAUACGGGAAUAACGCGCCUUACGUGUAGGGCUUUGCAUGUACCGUAUGAAUAAGGACCGGCUAAUUCCGUGCCAGCAGCCGCGGUAAUACGGAAGGUCCGGGCGUUAUCCGGCUUUAUUGGGUUUAAAGGGCGCGUAGGCGGUAUGUUAAGUUUGCUGUGAAAUGUCCGGGCUCAACCCGGGCCGUGCAGCGCGAACUGGCGUGCUUGAGUCCGCGGAAAGCAGGCGGAAUGCGUCGUGUAGCGGUGAAAUGCGUAGAUAUGACGAAGAACCCCGAUUGCGAAGGCAGCUUGCUGCAGCGGAACUGACGCUGAUGCUCGAAAGCGCGGGUAUCGAACAGGAUUAGAUACCCGGGUAGUC